AACUAUGCUGCAUUUCGCAGGACACAAGGUGCAGGCUAUGGUCCUUUCUUCUAUCUCCCUAAAAUGGAGCACUCAAGGUAUAAGUCUUUUUUACUUCUCCUGAAAAAGAGAAAUUCAAAUAAUAAGUUUAAGCAAUUUUGUUAUUUAAUAUUGCAGGGAAGCUAAGAUAUGGAACUGUGUGUUUGAGAGAGCUGAGAAGAUGGCAGGAAUAGAAAGAGGAAGUAUUAGAGCUACUGUUCUAAUUGAAACACUUCCAGCUGUUUUUCAAAUGAAUGAAAUCCUCUAUGAAUUAAGAGAUCACUCUGUUGGCUUGAAUUGUGGAAGAUGGGAUUAUAUUUUCAGCUAUGUCAAGACAUUCCAGGCUCACCUGGAUCGCCUGUUACCCGAUAGGGUUCAAGUUGGCAUGACCCAACAUUUCAUGAAGAGUUACUCUGAUCUCCUCAUUUGGACAUGCCACAGGCGUGGUGUGCAUGCCAUGGGUGGCAUGGUAUGUUCAAUUUAUCUUCUAAAAUCAUAUUCAACAUGAAAAAGAGAGCUCAUUCUUAAUUUUGUAACAGGCAGCACAAAUUCCAAUUAGAGAUGAUAAAGAAGCAAAUGAAGCAGCACUAGAAUUGGUAAGAAAGGACAAGCUAAGAGAGGUUAAAGCAGGGCAUGAUGGAACAUGGGCAGCACACCCAGGACUUAUCCCAGCAUGCAUGGAAGUAUUCACAAACAACAUGGGAAAUGCUCCAAACCAAAUUCAAGCCAAGAAAAGAGAAGAUGCUGCAAAUAUAACAGAGGAAGACCUAUUACAAAGGCCUCGAGGAGUUCGAACAAUGGAAGGUCUUCGCCUAAACACUAGAGUUGGAAUCCAGUACUUAGCAGCCUGGCUUACUGGAACAGGCUCAGUGCCUCUUUACAAUCUUAUGGAAGAUGCUGCCACUGCUGAAAUUAGCAGGGUCCAAAAUUGGCAAUGGAUUAAGUAUGGAGUGGAGUUGGAU
RNAcentral lists this long non-coding RNA (980 nucleotides) under Jatropha curcas. RNAcentral describes it as "long non-coding RNA (JCUR_LNC002151)". Lineage: Eukaryota; Viridiplantae; Streptophyta; Magnoliopsida; Malpighiales; Euphorbiaceae. The record is from RNAcentral.